This 1373-nucleotide ribosomal RNA is filed under the name uncultured bacterium. RNAcentral's name for it is "partial 16S ribosomal RNA". It matches the Rfam family "Bacterial small subunit ribosomal RNA", at positions 28 to 1381 of the family's 1533-position model. The record is from RNAcentral.
GAGAAAAACGGGCGGGGUGCCUUUAACAUGUGCAUGUAGAGAGCAGACAAGGAACUUGUUCCUCUCUCAUUGGGGCGGGACGGGGGAGAAACACGGGGAGUACCACCCUCCUAGAGGGGGAGAAUUUCGGGAAAGCGGACGUUAUCCCCGAAAAUAUUUUGAUCCACGGGGUGUAAUAGAAAAAAAGGGUUGUCCUGUCCCUUAUAAAAGGAUCCGCGCCUCAUUACUAUUUGGGGAGGUAAGGGUUUUCCGAGGCAACGAUUGGUACCCACACCUAGGAGGGAGAGCGGCCCCCCUGCUGAUAAGAAACACACCCUACUCCUCCAGGAGGGAGCAGGAGGAAGUCUUCUCCAAUGGUGGAAAAGAGGACGGAACAGCGCCGCGCGAUGGAUGAAAGGCUUCGGAUGGUAACCACUCUGUUUUUAGGGAAGAACAAAUGUGUAAGUGUGUAUGCCCGGCUUGACCGUACCGUAACCAGAAACCCACGGCUCAUUUCAUGUUCCCCCCCGCGGCAAUACGUAGGAGGGAAGCGUUAUCCUCAAUUAUUGGUCAUAAAGCGCGCGUAGCCGGUUUUUUAGUCUGAUGUGAAAGCCCACGGCUCAACCGUGGAGGGUCAUUGGAAACUGGAAAACUUGAGUGCAGAAGAGGAAAGUGGAAUUCCAUGUGUAGCGGUGAAAUGCGCAGAGAUAUGGAGGAACACCAGUGGCGAAGGCGACUUUCUGGUCUGUAACUGACGCUGAUGUGCGAAAGCGUGGGGAUCAAACAGGAUUAGAUACCCUGGUAGUCCACGCCGUAAACGAUGAGUGCUGAGUGUUAGGGGGUUUCCGCCCCUUAGUGCUGCAGCUAACGCAUUAAGCACUCCGCCUGGGGAGUACGACCGCAAGGUUGAAACUCAAAGGAAUUGACGGGGACCCGCACAAGCGGUGGAGCAUGUGGUUUAAUUCGAAGCAACGCGAAGAACCUUACCAAAUCUUGACAUCCUUUGACAACUCUAGAGAUAGAGCUUUCCCCUUCGGGGGACAAAGUGACAGGUGGUGCAUGGUUGUCGUCAGCUCGUGUCGUGAGAUGUUGGGUUAAGUCCCGCAACGAGCGCAACCCUUAAGCUUAGUUGCCAUCAUUAAGUUGGGCACUCUAAGUUGACUGCCGGUGACAAACCGGAGGAAGGUGGGGAUGACGUCAAAUCAUCAUGCCCCUUAUGAUUUGGGCUACACACGUGCUACAAUGGACAAUACAAAGGGCAGCGAAACCGUGAGGUCAAGCAAAUCCCAUAAAGUUGUUCUCAGUUCGGAUUGUAGUCUGCAACUCGACUACAUGAAGCUGGAAUCGCUAGUAAUCGUAGAUCAGCAUGCUACGGUGAAUACGUUCCCGGGUCU